RNAcentral lists this transfer RNA (65 nucleotides) under Basidentitermes aurivillii. RNAcentral's name for it is "tRNA-Glu". Lineage: Eukaryota; Metazoa; Arthropoda; Insecta; Blattodea; Termitidae. The record is from RNAcentral.
AUUUAUAUAGUUUAAAAACAAACAUUACAUUUUCACUGUAAAGAUAAAGAAAACUUUUAUAAAUA